AAUCUAAACAAAUGCACACACUUUACCUUUGGUCCUGGGAAGCCUCGGUUACCUUGCCAUCCUGGGUUUCCUGUAGGCCCCUGACAAAAUGAUAAUGACAAAACAAAAAGUAAAUGGGAAAGAUCGCAACUGAGCAAUAUCAAGGUGUCCUUCAGUGAACUCAUGAUACUCACCCGGAAACGCUCGAUGUACACACUCAUGUCCAGAGUGUCUCCCUUCUCUCCCUUCCUGCCUGAUUGUCCCUUAUAGACGGAAACAAAUAGACAACGCCGUCUGCACCUGGCUUCCCCCUGGGCCCAGCUUGUCCUGGGUGACCCUGCAGAGUCAACGACAAAUCCAAACAGUCACACAAAGAACGAGAGUUCAGCGAGCUUCUACUGCUUUCAUCCACACUGAGGGAUAGACUUACA
Molecule: long non-coding RNA, 410 nt
Organism: Scophthalmus maximus (turbot)
Lineage: Eukaryota; Metazoa; Chordata; Actinopteri; Pleuronectiformes; Scophthalmidae
Exons: 3
Source: RefSeq, a predicted model, not a curated record